This 120-nucleotide ribosomal RNA is filed under the name Phaeacidiphilus oryzae. Lineage: Bacteria; Bacillati; Actinomycetota; Actinomycetes; Kitasatosporales; Streptomycetaceae. The record is from RNAcentral.
GUUUCGGUGGCCAUAGCGAGAGGGAAACGCCCGGUCCCAUUCCGAACCCGGAAGCUAAGCCUCUCAGCGCCGAUGGUACUGCACUCGGGAGGGUGUGGGAGAGUAGGACGCCGCCGAACA